GCGUGGCAGACGGGAGAGUAACACAUUGGUAACCUACCCUGAAGAGGGGGAUAAUCUUUCGAAAGAAAGGAUAAUACCCCAUGUGCUGUUAAUUUUAAUAGUUAACAGUAAAACUUUUGUGCUUCAGGAGGGGCCUAUGUUCUAUCAGCUUGUUGGUGAGGUAAAGGCUCACCAAGGCUAUGACAGAUACCGGGUGUGAGAGCAUGAUCCGGCUCAAUGGGACUGAGACACUGCCCAUACUCC
RNAcentral lists this ribosomal RNA (243 nucleotides) under uncultured bacterium. RNAcentral describes it as "partial 16S ribosomal RNA". It matches the Rfam family "Bacterial small subunit ribosomal RNA", at positions 93 to 339 of the family's 1533-position model. The record is from RNAcentral.